AGAGUUUGAUCCUGGCUCAGAUUGAACGCUGGCGGCGUGCCUAACACAUGCAAGUCGAGCGGUAACAGGUGUAGCAAUACAUGCUGACGAGCGGCGAACGGGUGAGUAAUGCUUCGGAAUCUACCCAGUAGUGGGGAAUAACCAACCGAAAGGUUGGCUAAUACCGCAUACGUCCUACGGGAGAAAGCGGGGGAUCGCAAGACCUCGCGCUAUCGGAUGAGCCGAAGCCGGAUUAGCUAGUUGGUAGGGUAACGGCCUACCAAGGCGACGAUCCGUAGCUGGUCUGAGAGGACGACCAGCCACACUGGGACUGAGACACGGCCCAGACUCCUACGGGAGGCAGCAGUGGGGAAUAUUGGACAAUGGGGGAAACCCUGAUCCAGCGACGCCGCGUGUGUGAAGAAGGCCUGCGGGUUGUAAAGCACUUUUAGUGGGGAUGAAAAGUGCAGAGCUAACACCUCUGCAUCUUGACCUAACCCACAGAAAAAGCACCGGCUAACUCUGUGCCAGCAGCCGCGGUAAUACAGAGGGUGCGAGCGUUAAUCGGAAUUACUGGGCGUAAAGCGUGCGUAGACGGUAAUGUAAGUCGGGUGUGAAAGCCCCGGGCUCAACCUGGGAAUUGCAUUCGAGACUGCAUUGCUUGGGUGCGGAAGAGGGAAGCGGAAUUUCCGGUGUAGCGGUGAGAUGCGUAGAUAUCGGAAGGAACACCAGUGGCGAAAGCGGCUUCCUGGUCCGACACCGACGUUCAGGCACGAAAGCGUGGGGAGCAAACAGGAUUAGAUACCCCUGUAGUCC
Molecule: ribosomal RNA, 795 nt
Filed under: uncultured bacterium
Lineage: Bacteria
Description: bacterial SSU rRNA
Rfam family: Bacterial small subunit ribosomal RNA
Source: RNAcentral